RNAcentral lists this ribosomal RNA (478 nucleotides) under uncultured bacterium. RNAcentral describes it as "partial 16S ribosomal RNA". It matches the Rfam family "Bacterial small subunit ribosomal RNA", at positions 28 to 523 of the family's 1533-position model. The record is from RNAcentral.
GACGAACGCUGGCGGCGUGCUUAACACAUGCAAGUCGAACGGUAAGGCCCUUCGGGGUACACGAGUGGCGAACGGGUGAGUAACACGUGGGUGAUCUGCCCUGCACUUCGGGAUAAGCCUGGGAAACUGGGUCUAAUACCGGAUAGGACUCCGGACUGCAUGGUCUGGGGUGGAAAGCUUUUGCGGUGUGGGAUGGGCCCGCGGCCUAUCAGCUUGGUGGUGGGGUGAUGGCCUACCGAGGCGACGACGGGUAGCCGGCCUGAGAGGGUGACCGGCCACACUGGGACUGAGAUACGGCCCAGACUCCUACGGGAGGCAGCAGUGGGGAAUAUUGCACAAUGGGCGCAAGCCUGAUGCAGCGACGCCGCGUGAGGGAUGACGGCCUUCGGGUUGUAAACCUCUUUCAGCAUCGACGAAGCGAAAGUGACGGUAGGUGCAGAAGAAGGACCGGCCAACUACGUGCCAGCCGCCGCAGUAA